Molecule: small nucleolar RNA, 90 nt
Organism: Physella acuta
Lineage: Eukaryota; Metazoa; Mollusca; Gastropoda; Physidae
Product: small nucleolar SNORD12/SNORD106
Source: RefSeq, a predicted model, not a curated record
ACCUUUGAUAGUGAUGACAAACUUUUUUCCCCGGCAUAACGAUAUUUGCUGAAAGACUUUUGAAAAGCCAAUUUUGUCUGAGUCAAAGGC